AGUCGAACGGCAGCACGGACUUCGGUCUGGUGGCGAGUAGCGAACAGGUGAGUAAUGUAUCGGAACGUGCCUAGUAGCGGGAUAUGCGCGGCGUAGCUAAUACCGCAUACGCCCUUCGGGGGAAAGCGGGGGACCUUCGGGCCUCAUGUAAUGAAACGGCCGAUAUCGGAUUAGCUGAUUGGUGGGGUAACGGCUCACCAAGGCGACGAUCCGUAGCUGGUUUGAGAGGACGACCAGCCACACUGGGACUGAGACACGGCCCAGACUCCUACGGAGGCAGCAGUGGGAAUUUUGGACAAUGGAAACCUGAUCCAGCCAUCCGCGUGCGAUGAGCUGGGUUGUAAAGCACUUUUGGCAGGGAAAACGGCACGGGAUAAUACCCCGUGCAACUGACGGUACCAACAGAAUCAGCACCGACUAACUACGUGCCAGCAGCCGCGGUAAUACGUAAGUGCAAGCGUUAAUGGAAUUACUGAAAUAAAGCGUGCGCGAACAGUUCGGAAAAGAAAGAUGUGAAAUCCCGGAAACCUUUUGUUACAUUUUAACUACUGACUAGAGAGUGUAUCAGAGGAGGUGGAAUUCCGCGUGUAGCAGUGAAAUGCGUAGAUAUGCGGAGGAACACCGAUGGCGAAGGCAGCUCCUGGGAUAACACUGACGCUCAUGCACAGCGUGGGGAACGGCAGGAUUGGAAAUACCUGGUAGUCCACGCCUAAACGAUGUCAACUAGCUGUUGGGGCCUUGGGCCUUGGUAGCGCAACUAACGCGUGAGAUUGACCGCCUGGGAAGUACGGUCGCAAGAUUAAACUCAAGGAAUUGACGGGGACCCGCACAAGCGGUGGAUGAUGAAGUUAAUUCGAUGCAACGCGAAAACCUUACCUACCCUUGACAUGUCUGGAAUCCCGAGAGAUUUGGGAGUGCUCGCAAGAGAACCGGAACACAGUGCUGCAUGGCUGUCGUCCAGCUCGUGUCGUGAGAUGUUGGGUUCUGAUCCCGCAACGAGCGCAACCCUUGUCAUUAGUUGCUACGAAGGGCACUCUAAUGAGACUGCCGGUGACAAACCGGAGGAAGGUGGGGAUGACGUCAAGUCCUCAUGGCCAUAUGGGUAGGGCUUUAUCAUACAAUGGUCAGGACAGAGGUCGCCAACCCGCGAGGGAGCCAAUCCAGAAACCCGAUCGUAGUCCGGAUAACGAUCUGCAGCUCGGCUGCGUGAAGUCGGAAUCGCUAGUAAUCGCGGAUCAGCAUGUCGUGACCGAUGCAUUCAGGUCUUAUGCACACCGCCCGUCACACCAUGGAGUGGUUUUACCAGUAGUUCAACUAAACAUAAGGAGGGCGAUUACCACGGUAGGAUUCAUGACUGGGGUGAAGUCGUAACGAGUAG
Molecule: ribosomal RNA, 1378 nt
Filed under: uncultured Bordetella sp.
Lineage: Bacteria; Pseudomonadati; Pseudomonadota; Betaproteobacteria; Burkholderiales; Alcaligenaceae
Description: partial 16S-23S ribosomal RNA intergenic spacer
Rfam family: Bacterial small subunit ribosomal RNA
Source: RNAcentral